CAAUCUGUUCAUGUCUGUCAGUUUAUAUCUGUGUUUUCCUUUUGUUGCAUGAUUGUUGUUCUACGUUUCAUGUUAUGAACACUGAGAAAUUGCCCUGCGCCUCUUCGCUAGGAGCCUAGCACAGCUGGAGAAAGAAGCCCUGCCACGAGCUGAUUGUGGCUUCUAUGGAUGCCGAAGGAAUGUGGUAGCUGCCAGAGUGAGUGGUGAGACAUGCUGAUUACGGGACAAAGAAUGGUGCUGACUGUGAGCUUGCUGCAUGCCCUGACAGUGGUGACAGGGGAAAGUUUAUUGGGCCUAUGUUCCUGACCUACCACUGAUACAUCCAGCAGUGUGGUCCAGACCAGAGAUUCCCAUGCUUGGGUCUCCCUGGACAGAGGAGCCAACUUAUAAUAAGACUAAGACUUUCAAUGCAUUUGGUGAUGGGAUUUGUUUGCUCUGUGAAGAAUAGUAUGGGUGUAUUUCUGUGUUUCCUUAAAAUUGGAACCUUUUAUUAA
This 494-nucleotide long non-coding RNA is filed under the name Mus musculus (house mouse). RNAcentral's name for it is "predicted gene 13209". Lineage: Eukaryota; Metazoa; Chordata; Mammalia; Rodentia; Muridae. The record is from RNAcentral.